This 412-nucleotide ribosomal RNA is filed under the name Oenococcus oeni. RNAcentral's name for it is "bacterial SSU rRNA". It matches the Rfam family "Bacterial small subunit ribosomal RNA", at positions 1 to 387 of the family's 1533-position model. The record is from RNAcentral. Lineage: Bacteria; Bacillati; Bacillota; Bacilli; Lactobacillales; Lactobacillaceae.
UUAAAUUGAGAGUUUGAUCCUGGCUCAGGAUGAACGCUGGCGGCGUGCCUAAUACAUGCAAGUCGUACGCUAGCCGCUGAAUUGAUCCUUCGGGUGAAGUGAGGCAAUGACUAGAGUGGCGAACUGGUGAGUAACACGUAAGAAACCUGCCCUUUAGUGGGGGAUAACAUUUGGAAACAGAUGCUAAUACCGCGUAACAACAAAUCACACAUGUGAUCUGUUUGAAAGGUCCUUUUGGAUCGCUAGAGGAUGGUCUUGCGGCGUAUUAGCUUGUUGGUAGGGUAGAAGCCUACCAAGGCAAUGAUGCGUAGCCGAGUUGAGAGACUGGCCGGCCACAUUGGGACUGAGACACUGCCCAAACUCCUACGGGAGGCUGCAGUAGGGAAUUUUCCGCAAUGCACGAAAGUGUGAC